RNAcentral lists this unclassified non-coding RNA (348 nucleotides) under soil metagenome. RNAcentral's name for it is "partial contains 5.8S ribosomal RNA, internal transcribed spacer 2, and large subunit ribosomal RNA". The stretch from base 1 to 120 matches the Rfam family "5.8S ribosomal RNA", at positions 35 to 154 of the family's 154-position model. The record is from RNAcentral.
GAUGAAGAACGUAGCGAAAUGCGAUAAGUAAUGUGAAUUGCAGAAUUCAGUGAAUCAUCGAGUCUUUGAACGCACAUUGCGCCCCCUGGUAUUCCGGGGGGCAUGCCUGUCCGAGCGUCAUUGCUGCCCUCAAGCACGGCUUGUGUGUUGGGCCCCCGUCCCCGGUUUCCCCCGGGGACGGGCCCGAAAGGCAGCGGCGGCACCGCGUCCGGUCCUCGAGCGUAUGGGGCUUUGUCACCCGCUCUGUAGGCCCGGCCGGCGCCAGCCGACACCCAACUUUAUUUCUAAGGUAGACCUCGGAUCAGGUAGGGAUACCCGCUGAACUUAAGCAUAUCAAUAAGCGGAGGA